This 263-nucleotide long non-coding RNA is filed under the name Brassica napus (rape). RNAcentral describes it as "long non-coding RNA (BNAP_LNC009969)". The record is from RNAcentral. Lineage: Eukaryota; Viridiplantae; Streptophyta; Magnoliopsida; Brassicales; Brassicaceae.
AGAAGGAGGAGCGGUGACUUGGAAUGUUGAGAAAGAUUUGCAGAGCGCGGCUAAUUGAGGCUACAAUGGUUUCGUCGAUCAAUUCCGUUUUAAAUUAUUAUUUAGGUAACCGGUUUCAUAUGUGAGGAGUCGAGAGGUACCGGUUGUGUCAGUACUCCACCUACGUCUAAAUAUAGGGGCAUACUCGUAUUAAUGAAAAAUGCACAGUGCUUUAUCCAUUUACCUAAUUAAAUAAGUUUUCAUAGCUAUCUACCGCAAUUUUC